This 468-nucleotide ribosomal RNA is filed under the name uncultured bacterium. Its description in RNAcentral is "partial 16S ribosomal RNA". It matches the Rfam family "Bacterial small subunit ribosomal RNA", at positions 28 to 507 of the family's 1533-position model. The record is from RNAcentral.
GACGAACGCUGGCGGCGCGCUUAACACAUGCAAGUCGAACGGAAAGGCCCUGCUGUUGUGGGGUGCUCGAUUGGCGAACGGGUGAGUAACACGUGAUUAACCUGCCCUUGACUUUGGGAUAACUUCAGGAAACUGGGGCUAAUACCGGAUAGGAGCUCCUGCUGCUUGGUGGGGGUUGGUAAGUGUCGGCGGUUGGGGAUGGACUCGCGGCUUAUCAGCUUGUUGGUGGGGUAGUGGCUUACCAAGGCUUUGACGGGUAGCCGGCCUGAGAGGGUGACCGGCCACAUUGGGACUGAGGUACGGCCCAGACUCCUACGGGAGGCAGCAGUGGGGAAUAUUGCACAAUGGGCGGAAGCCUGAUGCAGCGACGCCGCGUGCGGGAUGACGGCCUUCGGGUUGUAAACCGCUUUCGCCUGUGACGAAGCGUGAGUGACGGUAAUGGGUAAAGAAGCACCGGCUAACUACGUG